UAGAAUUUAGCUACACGAGCCGGUCAGCCAAUUAGGCGCUAGCUGCCACGUUCUGUGCGUCCAAAUAAAACCCUAGUCUAAAAAAUCCCCAAAUACACCCGUGCCCACUCCCACCUGACUCGGAUCUCCUCUCACCGGCGGCGCCUCCAAGUCAGUCGCCGCCAGCAGCGCCACCCAAAAUCCCUCCCCUCCUCUGCCCUCUGGUCCGCCGCGCCACCCUCUCUCUGUUCGAUGCCACGUCCCCAGGCACCACUACACCGACACCAGCCUGCGACAUUUGCUGUCUGGUUCGACCUCCAUGCAACCUCCACCGCCACUUCUUGGAUGGCUCAAGACCAUCGCUCUCUCCAUCUCCGGCGCCUUGCCCAGCUUCGUUUCUCACCUCGUGCCUCACCAUGAUCCGGCCGCUGCCUCACCCUCCCGCCACCAUCAACUACUUGAAGAUCAGCUUCGUCUGACGAACCAACAAGACAGCGGCGGCGGAGAGAUCAGGUUUGGGAGAGGCAACCCGACGAUGCAAAGAGGCCAGGGGAUGAGUUGGAAACUCUUCAAGGAACCCGCGUGUAGCACCAUCAGAUCUGGUCCCCUUCCAACUAUUUGAUGAUCACCUCUCCCUGGUUGCAGUUAAUCUAGAUGAGGAGUAAGAAUGUUUCCCUUUUAUGCUGCAAGAUCAUUCAAUCUCCAGCAUGCUCAAGAACAUCUAAUGUGUGACUACACUCUGUGUCCAGAGUAUUAACAAUGAAACUGUAUUAGGAAUAGCCUUUUAUUAGAAGCUAUAUGCACAAGAAAUUAAUAUUCUAUGAUAAUAGUUAAUAAGUUAAACAUAUGUUGAGGGCUCCUAUCAUGGGCCAUACCAUGUCUUCUUAGUUGCUAGGUACUGUAAAAUCUGUAUAUUAAAAGGUUUAUUCAGAUGCUAAUACUGCUCGGUGAAAGAGAAAGUUAUUAUGUUAAUUCUGUAAUAUUUUUUCUCCAUGCGAUCACUUGUCAGUAUAUUGUUUCUCUUCUGUUUUAUUCCACUAUAAUGCAGGUGCAUUAAAUAUUAAUUGACU
Molecule: long non-coding RNA, 1049 nt
Organism: Triticum aestivum (bread wheat)
Lineage: Eukaryota; Viridiplantae; Streptophyta; Magnoliopsida; Poales; Poaceae
Exons: 3
Source: RefSeq, a predicted model, not a curated record